This 592-nucleotide ribosomal RNA is filed under the name uncultured bacterium. RNAcentral describes it as "bacterial SSU rRNA". It matches the Rfam family "Bacterial small subunit ribosomal RNA", at positions 28 to 608 of the family's 1533-position model. The record is from RNAcentral.
AAUUAACGCUGGCGGCGUGCCUAACACAUGCAAGUCGUACGAGAAAGUUCUUCGGAAUGAGUACAGUGGCGAACGGGUGCGUAACACGUAGGUAAUCUGCCCUUAAGAGAGGGAUAACAUGCCGAAAGGCGUGCUAAUACCUCAUAACAUCCCAGUUACUGCGGUGAUUGGGAUCAAAGAUGGCCUCUACUUGUAAGCUAUCACUUAAGGAUGAGCCUGCGCCCAUUAGCUCGUUGGUAGGGUAACGGCCUACCAAGGCUAUGAUGGGUAGCUGGUCUGAGAGGACGACCAGCCACACUGGAACUGAGACACGGUCCAGACUCCUACGGGAGGCAGCAGUGGGGAAUCUUGGACAAUGGAGAACCCUGAUCAGCAACGCCGUGUGAGUGAUGAAGGUCUUCGGAUCGUAAAGCUCUGUCACUCGGGAAGAACGCGCAACAUCAGAUCUUUGCGUUGACGGUACCGAGAGAGGAAGCACCGCUAACUCUGUGCCAGCAGCCGCGGUAAUACAGAGGGUGCGAGCGUUAUUCGAAACUAUUGGGCGUAAAGCGCGAGUAGGUGGUGAGGUAAGUUCCGUGUGAAAGCUUCGGGC